RNAcentral lists this transfer RNA (83 nucleotides) under Mesitornis unicolor (brown roatelo). It matches the Rfam family "tRNA". From Rfam's summary of the family: Transfer RNA (tRNA) molecules are approximately 80 nucleotides in length. Their secondary structure includes four short double-helical elements and three loops (D, anti-codon, and T loops). Further hydrogen bonds mediate the characteristic L-shaped molecular structure. tRNAs have two regions of fundamental functional importance: the anti-codon, which is responsible for specific mRNA codon recognition, and the 3' end, to which the tRNAs corresponding amino acid is attached (by aminoacyl-tRNA synthetases). tRNAs cope with the degeneracy of the genetic code in two manners: having more than one tRNA (with a specific anti-codon) for a particular amino acid; and 'wobble' base-pairing, i.e. permitting non-standard base-pairing at the 3rd anti-codon position. The record is from Rfam by way of RNAcentral. Lineage: Eukaryota; Metazoa; Chordata; Aves; Mesitornithiformes; Mesitornithidae.
GUCUGGAUGGCUGAGUGGUCUAAGGAGCUGCAUUCAGGUUGCAGUUUCACCAGGAGGUGUGGGUUCAAGUCCCAUUUCUGACA